This 456-nucleotide ribosomal RNA is filed under the name Pseudomonas sp. D-39-25-7. RNAcentral's name for it is "bacterial SSU rRNA". It matches the Rfam family "Bacterial small subunit ribosomal RNA", at positions 8 to 465 of the family's 1533-position model. Lineage: Bacteria; Pseudomonadati; Pseudomonadota; Gammaproteobacteria; Pseudomonadales; Pseudomonadaceae. The record is from RNAcentral.
AGAGUUUGAUCAUGGCUCAGAUUGAACGCUGGCGGCAGGCCUAACACAUGCAAGUCGAGCGGAUGAAGGGAGCUUGCUCCUGGAUUUAGCGGCGGACGGGUGAGUAAUGCCUAGGAAUCUGCCUGGUAGUGGGGGAUAACGUUCCGAAAGGAACGCUAAUACCGCGUACGUCCUACGGGAGAAAGCAGGGGACCUUCGGGCCUUGCGCUAUCAGAUGAGCCUAGGUCGGAUUAGCUAGUUGGUGAGGUAAUGGCUCACCAAGGCGACGAUCCGUAACUGGUCUGAGAGGAUGAUCAGUCACACUGGAACUGAGACACGGUCCAGACUCCUACGGGAGGCAGCAGUGGGGAAUAUUGGACAAUGGGCGAAAGCCUGAUCCAGCCAUGCCGCGUGUGUGAAGAAGGUCUUCGGAUUGUAAAGCACUUUAAGUUGGGAGGAAGGGUUGUACGUUAAUAC